RNAcentral lists this ribosomal RNA (633 nucleotides) under Triticum aestivum (bread wheat). RNAcentral's name for it is "partial small subunit ribosomal RNA". Lineage: Eukaryota; Viridiplantae; Streptophyta; Magnoliopsida; Poales; Poaceae. The record is from RNAcentral.
AUGCAGAGAGAGAAGAAAGGAGAGGAUGGUGUAUUAUCCGCUCGGCGUCGUCGUCGGCGCCGCCGUGCGCUGCCACUGCCCGUCCAUCCUCCUCCUCCGCCGCGCCCCGCCAGCGACGGCGGCCACCUCUCCCCAUCGCCGCCCACCCCACCCCCUGCUCCAGCUCCGUCCGCUCGCCUCCUCGGCUGGACGCCUGGACGGCGGCCGCCACGCCGUGACCCGGAGGACGGCGAUGACGGGUUCCUCACCCUCGACCUGGAAGACUUCGAUGGGUUCGCCGACGGGGAGGCGGAGGGGGAGGAGGGCCCGUCGCCGUGGGAGGGCGCAGUGGUGUACCGGCGCGACGCGGCGGCGCAGCACGUCGAGUACGCCACCACCCUGGAGCGCCUCGGCCUGGCCGACCUCUCCUCCCCGCACUCCCGGGUGCGCGCCGCCGCCAUGGGCAUCCUCUCCUCCGCCAGUGCCGGCGACACGGCCGCGACGACGACGCCCGUGCUCGUCUCAGUCGACGUGGCCCGGCGCCGCGGCCGCUCCGGCUCGACGGCAUCCUGCGCACCGUCAUCACCCUCGGCUGCUACCGGUGUGCCGAGCCAGCUGCCCAAGGCAUAUUCGCGAACUUCUCACUCCUACUGA